This 208-nucleotide unclassified non-coding RNA is filed under the name Hevea brasiliensis (rubber tree). The record is from RNAcentral. Lineage: Eukaryota; Viridiplantae; Streptophyta; Magnoliopsida; Malpighiales; Euphorbiaceae.
AACAUCCCACAUAAUUACACCCACUGGGAAGCAUUAAAAUUCAUGAACUUUUUCCAUAUAUGUGCCUAGGGAUGUAUAGUUACUUACUUACUUACGUUUGCUUCCUUACCUUAACCAUGUAAUCCAUAUAACUGCAUCAGGAUAUUUUGGGUACUUUGCCAAGCCCUCAUCCAUUUUUAUGUUUUUGGUGAUGCUAUCCAUGGUUUCA